This 8998-nucleotide long non-coding RNA is filed under the name Homo sapiens (human). RNAcentral describes it as "non-protein coding FZD10-DT:35". Lineage: Eukaryota; Metazoa; Chordata; Mammalia; Primates; Hominidae. The record is from RNAcentral.
CUCCUCCCCGCCGCCCCGCCGCGGGCUCCCGGGCCCCGCGGGGGCCGAUCCCCCCCGGCCUGCAGCCCAGCCUGCGGGGGGCGCAGCGCCUAGUCCCGCCCGCGUCGCCCGCCAGCCCCGGGACAGCCCGCCUGGCGCGCGGGGCUCUGCGCGCUGCGACCCUCCCCGGCAGUCCCGCCCGCCUCUCCUCGCCCUCUCUCUGCCUGGCCUCCAACUUUGCCUCUCGCUAUCCUCUCCGCCGGCGCCCCCUUUCCCGGCGGUCCCCGGGAUGGUCCCCGGCACCCCGAGGACGCCGAGGUUACGGGAAGUUCGGGGACUGGCGGGAGAAGGGGUUUGGGGGUGGUCCGCGGCGAGGGGCGCGGGGUGCAUCUUCUCUUCCUUUUAUGGGCUGCCACACUUGUGUAUCCCUUCUUCCUUGAAUUUAACCAGGAGUGAGCAGUGGACAGCUUCUUCCCUAUGAGAAGGAGGUGAAGCAGGACCUGAAAUCCCGUGCUCAGCUCCCACAUGCCCCGUGUCCAGGACAAGUCCUUUGCUGAAUCAGCGGCAGACACCACCCGGAGCCCUGCGGGAGCCUUUCCCUGUUCUUCCAGCAUGGAUCUGAAACUCCCUUCCCACUUUCUGCAGCCUCCCAGAGAUAGUUCAGGCUCCAGCCUCAUGUGAUAGCAUGAAGAGAAACUGGUUCCAACAGCUGUGUGCUCUGCUGCCCUCAUCCCAAACAACAGUUUAAAUGCACAAUUACGCUUUUCUCUAAGGCCCAAAAUAGGAUAGGAAAGAUCGUUUUGCUAUCCCUGAAUGCCUGUCACCCUUGUUUCGUAAGCAGGAAGUCAGUCCCAGAAUAGUUGUUCUGCUCCCUCCCUUCUAAUAAGUGCUGCGCUGAGUGUGCUUGCUUUGCCAGAUGGUUAAAACAGAGCAGGGGAUAGAAGGACAGAUGUCUUCACCCUCAUGGAGUUCACCUUCCAGUAGGAGGAGGCGAUAGGCCGGGGUCUGCACAUGUGCGUGCUACAGCCUGUUCCACGGUGCGUGGCGUGCGGGGCAGGUGAGCGGCUCAUGCCAUCCAGAGAGCUAGGAAAGGGGGGCUGCAGUUUUAGCAAGAUGGGCAGGGAAGGCCUGGAUGAGAAGGAGACCACUGAGCAAAGACACCAGGAGUGGGUGCAGAGAGCUGAGGGCACUUCUAGAAGUGCCUGCUGGGAUAAUGGGGUGUCUGCCAGUGCCACGGCCCUGAAGUGCCACUAUACCUGGGGUUUUUGAGGAAGAACAAUGGGGCCAAUGGCUGGAAGUCAGGACAUAGGGGCCAGCGUCAGAAGGUAGCUGACAGAAGAGGUGUGUGGAGAGGAAGUGGGAGGGAAAGAAAUCGGGCCAUGAUGGCGUCUAUGGGCCUUUUGAUUUUGACUCUGAGUGAAAUGGGGAGCCACGGAGGGUUCUGGAGAGACGAGAGCCAUGCUCUGACUUCAGUCUUCCCAGGACCCUUCUGGCUAGUGCAUCAAGGACACAUAGUGGCAGGGAAAGAGUGAAGCAGAGAAACAGUUAGGAGACAGCCACAGUGGUUCAGAGGAGAUAGGCUGGUGGCUUGGACCCCGGAGGCAGAAGAGGCCACGGUCAGCAGGGAUUGGAUUCUGCUUAGAGGGCCACCAGGCAAGCCUGGGCCGGCUGUCCAUUUUGACCAUGGACCAAGGCUGUCCAUUUUGAUGGAAAACUCAUUCUUCUUCUUCUUCUUUUUUUUUUUUUUUUUUUUUUUUUUUUGAGACAGAGUCUUGCCCUGUCACCAGGCUGGAGUGCAGUGGUGCGGUCUCAGCUCACUGCAACCUCUGCCUCCCAGGUUCAAGUGAUUUCCCUGCCUCCCGAGUAGCCUGGACUACAGAUGUGUGCCAUCAAGCCCAGCUAAUUUUUUUUUUUUUUUUUUUGUAUUUCAGUAGAGACAGGAUUUCACCAUGUUGGCUAGGAUGGUCUCGAUCUCCUGACCUUGUGAUCCGCCCCUCCCUCAGCCUCCCAAAGUGCUGGGAUUACAGGCGUGAGCCACUGCACCCUGCCAGAAAACUCAUUCUUCUACUCCAUCCUACAGUUUUCCCUAAGAGAGAAACAAUAAAACGCCACCACGACCAAUGGCAAAAAGCUGGCACCCACUCCACGACUUUUCAUAUCUACACGUUUGUACAGCUUUAUUUUUAAGCAUUCUGAAAUUCUAUGCAGGAGAGACCCCAGCUAGGUUUAGGGAGUCCUAGGGUUUGUGGAGUAAAUGAAGUUUCUCCCUAGAAUUAGGGAGGGUAGAGACAGGCAGAGAACUGACAAUCCUAACAGCUGCUGUCCUCAGAGCCACUGUUUCUGAGAGCUGCUCGCUGAGUGCUUCUAGCGAGUUAAAUGGUGUUCGCCCAAAAGACCUGUUCACGUCCUGAUCCUGGGAACCUGUGGCUGUGAUCUUAUUUGGAAAAAGCUCUACAUUACGUCUUUGCAGAAGUAAUCAUGUUAAGGAUCUUGAGAGGACGUGACCCUGAAUUAUCCGGCUGUGCUUGACAUCCAAUGACUGGUGAUGUUGUAAGAGAAAGACGGAGGGAGAUGUAAGAUAUGAGAGAAGGCCACGCCGAGACUGGAGUGAUGUGGCCGUGAGCCGAGGAAUGCCUGGAGCCACCAGAAGCUGGCAAAGGCAGAAGGAGCCUCCUCUGGACCCUGUGGUGGGUACGCAGCCUGGCAGAUAUAUUCAUUUUGGACUUCUGGCCUCCAGGGCUGUGAGAGAAUACAUUUCUGCAGUUUUAAGCCACGCAAUCUGUGUCCCUGGGAAGCCCAAAUAGGGCGAGACCUUUUGCCAAGUGGUCUCCAAGUGUCACGUCAUCGAAUCCUUCUCCCGGGCUUGUGCCAUAGUCUUUCCACUUUAGAGAGGAGGAAACGGAGGCUCUGGGGCACAAAGCCAGUCAGUGGCGGGGCCUGACUUUCAACCCAGCCUGCAUGGGGUCAGAGAACCCACUUUCCCCGUGGGGCCUGCGGCCUAUGCUAAGGAUGCUUGUUCAUCUCUCCUGGGCCCGGGAGUGGUUCUUCUGGCCUAGAAGGCAAGAGAAGCCAGUCUUUCGGUUUCAAGGUUUCCCAUUAGUGGAGUCAAGCAAAAAUGGUGUGUUGCGCUUCUUCCUGAGCUCAGCCUGGGAGCACGGCCUUAACAUGCUCAGUGGAUCCCAAGACGGCAGCAUGGCGGUGCCAGCCUGGCAGCCUUAGCUCCUUGCAGCUGUGCUUGUGAAGGGAGCAGUGAGUGGCUUCCCUCUGUGACCACCUUGGGUCCUAAGUUUCACUGGGGCUGGGAUCCAUGCGUCUUGCAAUUGGCUAGGAAUUUCCCGGGCUUUCCCUCCCUUCCCUGUUCAGGGCACUGGGUGUGAGGCAUUGCAUCCGUUCUUCUGCUCACCUGCUUCCCCCUAAGAGUGUGAGCUGUAUAAAGGCAGGAACCAAACAGGAGCCUCCACGUGUUCCCAGUUCAAGGGCAGUGUCCCUUGUGUGUUUCUUCAAUAAUUCAGUGGAUGACUUAUUCUGCACGGACACUGCACACACUCGGCCCUGCCGUCUCCGGAGCUGGGAGGUGUGGAGCUGGCUCCUGACCUAUUUACACACUGAGGAGGGAUGUGGAAAACAGGAGGAGUCCCAGGGCUCCAAUGCAAAGAGGAGCCUCUUCAUUCCCUCUGCCGUGGCCGUGCAAGGGACAGCGCCUUGUGGGAUUGUGUCCUCCACCCAAUUAUCCUUAGCAUUAGUUUGCUAAGGAUAAUGGCCUCCAGCUCCACCCAUGUCCCUGCAAAGGACAUGAUCUCAUUCCUUUCUGUGUCUGCAUAGUAUUCCAUGGUGUAUAUGUACCGCGUUUUCUUUAUCGAGUCUAUCAUUGAUGGGCGCUUCAGUUGAUUCCAUGUCUUUGCUACUGUGACUCGUGCUGCAAUGAGCAUUCGCGUGCAUGCCUUUAUGGUGGAAUUAUUUCUAUUCCUUUGGGUGCAUACCCAGUCAUGGGAUUGCUGGGUCAAAUGGCAUUUCUGCCUCUAGGUCUUUAAGGAAUUGCCACGCUGUCUUCCACAAUGCAAGCAAGACGUUAUUGAAAGUGUAAAGGGGGCUGCUAAUUACGCUGGGGCAGGCGGGGCAAACCAGGACCCUGCCAGGCGAGUCUAGGCCAUGGCCCCACACCAGAAGAUGAGGGCUGGAGACUCCUGGAGAGGAAUCUGAGUGGCGAGACCACCUGCAUUCAUUAUGUGUCAACUCUGCCAGGUGACAGUCCCCAGUGAGCCCAUCAAACAUGAACCUAGGUGCUGUUGGGAAGGUCUUUGGAUGCCAUUAACAUCUACAAUCAGUUGGUUUUCAGUAGAGGAGAUUAUCCUCAAGAAUGUGGGCGGGCCUCAUCCAGUGAGCUGAAAGGCCUUGAGAGCAGAACUAGGAUUUUGGAGGAGGAUGAAGUGUUGCCUCCGGACCGCAGCGUCACCUCUUGCCUGGGAAUUUCCAGCUUCCUUUUCAGACUUCGGACUUGCCUCCAAGCUCCCUGAAUCUUUUCAUAUAUUUAUGUCCUAUUGCAGAUUGUGUUUCUCUGGCUGGACUGUAACUGAUGAGGAGGACUGAAAUUCCAGGCUUGGUUGUAUAGCAUAUAAGUGAGGUCAUUUGGGUCUGGGGAGCUGGGGGGGGGGUCCUUCAGCUGCAUGAGUGUGACCUGCACCAAGGUGCCUGGCUACCUGGGGCGAGGGGGCUGCCAUCUAGCCCACACCCCACUCCUAGGCCGUGCACCCUGGCAUGGGUCUAUGUCUGGCUCAAGGAAGGGUUCCCUCCUCCCUCCAAUGUGCACAGAGACCUUGAGAUCCCAUCCACCUAACCCUGUGCCCUCAGAAGCCUCCUCUGAGAGGGGGCACCUUUUCCUAAUUCUCACAAAGGCUAGUGGCUACCUUGUAGAUAGCCUUGGAUGUGUUAGGACACUUUUCUGAACAUCAGUUCCUUAUCUGUAAGAUGGGAGUUGUGUCCUCAAUGGGUAAUUAGAGAUUAUUCAUGGGAAAUCCUAUCACGGUAUCUACCACGGGGAGACUCACAAGUGCUGAUCUUUGCUGGUGUUGCUGCAUUUGUUAUUGAAUGCAUUCGUUAGGAGUCUUGUUAGUAAGUGACAAAAAUCCAACUCAAAUUGGCUUACACUAAACAAGUUUCCUGCAUCUGGGAGUAUAAAGGGUGACGCUUUGGCAGAGGCUGGCUCUGGAAAACGAGGACGCACAUUUGUGCCCCCACUUUCCUCUGUGCGGCGUCCUUCUCUUCAAGGCUUCCCCCAGUUUGGCAAACACGGCCCCAGCAAUGUCAAGCUGAGAGCACCUUUUAAGAAAGACCCUUCCUUCCAUGUGUUUUGGCAAAAGUCCCAUGAAGCAGUAUGAGUGGCCCGGUUUGGGUCAUGGGCUCACCCCUAAACCAGCCGCUCUGGAUGGAUUAGUUCCAAUUGGACAGGCCAUGGUCUUGGACUCUUUGGGUGAGUGUGGGAGGGUGUGGGAGGGAAGAUUCAUUGAACCUCAUCUCUACUACAUGGUACAGCUCCCUGGAAGAAAGAGGGGCUCCAUUACCAGAAGGAAACAAGGAAUUUUAUGGGGAACCACAUUAUCACUACCACAAUCUACCAUGCUAUACAUAAGAAAUGCACCUUGGUCUUAAUGCACGGUCUUGAGGGGGUGCAAGCUGAAUCCAAUUCCCAGCGUCUGGGUCAGUGUCCCUCAUGGGGGAGCUGCCUCACUUAAGAUUCCUUUGGAUAGGUAAGGUAGAACACCAAGCUGCGCGGGAUUAUGAAAAGAAAGGGAGAAAUUCACUGGCUCGCAGAAUUGAAAAGCUGAGAUCCAGCUGUACUUUUAAGCCUGAGCCAUUCUCCAGCUCCUGGCCCUGCCUCUCGCUGUCUUGGCUUCACCCUUCACAGACUGCCCUGCAAGGACCGAGGUGGAGUCUCAUUGGACUGGCUCAGGUCGUGUGCCUAGUUCUGAACCAUCCACUGUUUCCAGAGGGAUGGGGUAUCCUGAUUAGCCAGGAAGAAGUCAGACGUCUCUGAGCUAACUUUACUGAGAAUUGGGUAGAGGAGGUCCCCCAAAAGUAAAGUUGGGCACUGCAGUUCAGGAGAAGGGUGAUCACUGGUUGCUAAGCAACCAUAAAGUAGCCAGCAUCUCCUGUGGGUUGGGGUUUGCGCCUGUGAAUGGACAAGUGGCACUCGGAAAUUAAAUGCAGUGCAUCCAGUGCUCAAGCUCCUGGGCUUCGUCUGCUCCACACUUUUUCCUCUGCCCUUUGGGCUAAAGCCGUUGGGUUUGGGACAAGAGAAGGGGAGAGCUGGUACCUCUUCCCUUUUUUGCCCAGGAAAGUUGUUUCUCCAUCAUUUCAUGGCUCAAAGUCAUUAAAUCUGAGUAAUUCUUACAAACCAGAUCCAGGAAGAAUCUAGGAGUGGGCUCUCUGUAGAUUAGAAUGCUUCAGGCUGCAGGUAACAGAAGACUUGACUGGAAAUGCCUUCAACAGAGAAGGGAUGUAUCAUUUUCUAGAAGGAGAAAUUCUGCAGCUGGGACGGUUCCAGGGUUGGUUUCUUUGGAAACUCAGAACUUCAUCGAGGCUCUGGAUUCAUUUCUUCUUUCUGCUGUGCCAUUUCCAGCCUGUUGACUUGGCCUGGGCCAGCUGUCCUCUCACGCUCAUGAUUGCUGCCUCUGCUCCUGCCAUCACAUACACAAGCAGUGCCUGUUCAGUGGAACAAAAGGAAAUCAAAAAGAGGAAUCACAUUGUCCUGUGUCUCUACAAUGUUUUUUUUUUUUUAAAUCAUGAAAACCGUUCCCAGAAACCCCACAACAGACUUUCUGUUUCAUCUCAUUGGCCAGAACAGUAUCACAGGAGACUACUGGGAUUGGCAUAGACUAGCUAGGAUGCACCCUUAGAGCCCGUGGAGGACGGCAGACAUCUGAGCAGAGCUGGGCCUCAGCGGGCAGGGGAUGACAGGGACUGGCAGGCAUCCUUUUGGUCACUCAGAGGACUUCCUUCAAUCCACCCAGGGCUGGUUGGCAUCAUAAACUCAGGAUGGCAGCACUUGGAUGGCUGUGGUUGCUUUGUCUCCAGUGAGUGCCCCAGGAAACCAUCUCUUCUGGUCGCCACACGGCUAUUUGGUGAGCUGCUUGCUGGGGUGAGCUGCUGCUGAAUGGGUGUGGUUGAAACUGGAAGGGUGAGGUCCCAAAGCCACUGUCUGCCCCUGGGUGACUGCAACAGGUAGCCCCCCCACCAACUUCCAGGCAAAUCCGUGGGAAAUGGAACAAGGUAUCAAGGGGAACAGGGGAGUCAGGCCACCAGGGCCCCACUGAGGAAGGCACCUGUUGCACCAUAUUUUGACGUCUUGAAUGUGUAUCCACUGGCCCAGGGAGUGGCUUAAUUACCAGUGUAAUAGCAGGUCCACUUACAGCUUCAGGUUUCGUAGAGGAAAAAGCAUCAUUGCAAAAUGCUUUUGAUGUGGUUAAGCGGUGAGGCCACAGUGAAUUUUAAGUGCUUGGUAAAGCGCAUGGAAAAAGAAAAGCACAAGUCAUACUUGGUAAAGGACAUUUCCCUUCCUAGAUGCCAGGUGUGAAAGGAUGCCAGGAAUAUUCUCUGCUCUUUCCUCCUGCUUCCUGAAGGACUGAGUCCACACUAACUAUUAUCAAACAAACAAACUUCCAGGGGAAAAGACUGCAGAACCUAUACAUUCUUUAUAAUUGGAAUCACAGCUAUACAUUCUUUAUAAUCAGAAUAACAGCUCUACAUUCUUUAUCAUCGCAGCUAUACGUUCUUUAUAAUCAGAAAGUGCUUUCUGGCCAGGCACGGUGGCUCAUGCCUGUAAUCCCAGAACUUUGGGAGGCCAAGCCAGGUGGAUCACCAGAGUUUAGGAGUUCGAGACCCUCUGGCCAACAUGGCAAAACCCCGUCUCUACUAAAAAUACAAAAAAAAAAAAAAAAAGCCCAGUGUGGUAGCAGGCGCCGGUAAUCCCAGCUACUCAGGAGGCUGAGGCAGGAGAAUCGCUUGAACUCAGGAGGCGGAGGUUGCCGUGAGCCAAGAUCACAUCACUGCAUUCUAACCUGGGCAACAACAGUGAGACUCCAUCUCAAAAAAAGAGAAAAGUGCUUUCUGCUGUCUUACUGAGGUCCCUGCUGCUCUGCUAACUCCUUCUCAAGCUGAGAGGUAAAGCAGGUGCUUUACUUCUGUGUGGUCAUGUGUUGGGUGCCUGCUACAUCAAAACGCUCUUCCAUAUGCAGAGAAAAUCAGAAGGAAGGGAGCACUGAGUGGCUAGUGGGCAAAGGGGAGAGACAGCGAGACCAACACAUGCCACAGAGCUGCCUUUUAUAUGAAUUCAAAUUCUGGGAUUUCGGACUAGGGCAAUAUGACAAAUAUUCAUGGACUUUCACUAGACCAAAAUUGGAAUAAAUGCUACACACACCCCAAUUUUUAAAAUUAGUAAAAACAUGUGACUUUAAAGCAGGCUGCCUACGUUGAUAAUAAACCACAUUUUCCCUAACGUGAAAAGUCAGUGCCAUUCGAGCUUGUCGACAGAAAUACAGAACAAUUCCUCAGUGAUGUGUGCUUCUUUGCAAAAAUCAGCCUUGAAUUAUGCAGGUUUGAAAUAGGCAAAAUCUUCCUAAACAAAUACUUUGCAUACAAUACCUCCAACCUCUAUUCCAGUAUAAUGUUUAAACUCUGUGCUAGAUGUCCACUUAGUUCUUUCAUUGAUGUGAAGCUAUUUCAUUAGGAGUCAGCAACUAUGCCCUGUGAUCUGACCCAAUGCCUGUUUUUGUAAAUAAAGUUUUAUUGGCACACAGCCACACCCAUUCAUUUACAAUUCGCAGAUGGUCACUUUCUCACUCCAAUGGAGUGGUGGCCACAGAAACCGUCUGGCCCAGAUGUCUAAAACAUUUAUUAUCUGGAUCUUUAUAGGAAAUGUUUGCUGGCUUUAGAGCGAGGAGUUUCAUCACUAGGAUAAGCGACUCCAUUUUCUUUUACCUAUGGAGAUUUCUCAGCCUUGCUGCACCUUAUUGCUAUAACUCUG